AUUAGAUUUUUAAUAGGAAUCUUGUAUGAAAGGGUUGACAAUUUUUUAGCUUUUUUAAUUUAAACAUAGAAUUUUAUAGUCAAGUAAAAAAGCUUGACUUUUUAGAGGGACGACAAGACCCUAUAAAGCUUAACUAAGAAAUUUCAAAUUAAUAAGAAAAAUUAACCAUAACUUAGUUGCACUGGGGCGGUAAUUAACGAACCUUAAUAAAAAUAACUUUAUAAAAGAAUUUAUAGAUCCUUUAGGAUAUUAGAUCAAGCUACUUUAGGGAUAACAGCGCAAUUUUUUUGGAUAGAUCUUAUUGAUAAAAAAGACUUGCGACCUCGAUGUUGAAGCCCAGUUGGCUCCCAGUUGGGAGCCAUAUGGGAAUUGAUCUUUCCUGAUCAUAAAGACACAAUUCCCCCUUCAUAUUUUUUGCUAGAUUAAGUAGCCAUAAUCUUAUAGGGAGUCUGUUCGACUUUUAAUUCCUCA
RNAcentral lists this ribosomal RNA (471 nucleotides) under Haploniscus hydroniscoides. Its description in RNAcentral is "partial 16S ribosomal RNA". Lineage: Eukaryota; Metazoa; Arthropoda; Malacostraca; Isopoda; Haploniscidae. The record is from RNAcentral.